CAAUAGCGUAUAUUAAAGUUGUUGCGGUUAAAAAGCUCGUAGUUGGAUCUCGGCAGGCAGGGGGUGGUUCGCUCUUAGCGCUACUGCCCCAUUUGCCUGUGUGAUUGGCGGAGGUUUCGGGGUGCUCUUCGUUGAGUGACCCGGGGCGCCGUCAGGUUUACUUUGAAAAAAUUAGAGUGCUCAAAGCAGGCUUUUCACGCUUGAAUAUUCGUGCAUGGAAUAAUGGAAUAGGAACUCGUUUCUAUUUUGUUGGUUUUCGGAAAUCGAGUUAAUGAUUAAUAGGGACAAUUGGGGGCAUUAGUAUUCAGACGACAGAGGUGAAAUUCUUGGACCGUCUGAAGACUGACUACUGCGAAAGCAUUUGCCAAGAGUGUUUUCAUUAA
This 383-nucleotide ribosomal RNA is filed under the name uncultured eukaryote. RNAcentral describes it as "partial 18S ribosomal RNA". It matches the Rfam family "Eukaryotic small subunit ribosomal RNA", at positions 592 to 976 of the family's 1831-position model. The record is from RNAcentral.